AGAUUAGACCUCAGAUCAGGCAGGAUUACCCGCUGAACUUAAGCAUAUCAAUAAGCGGAGGAAAAGAAACUAACAAGGAUUCCCCUAGUAACGGCGAGUGAAGCGGGAAGAGCUCAAAUUUGUAAUCUGGCCCUUUCAGGGUCCGAGUUGUAAUCUCGAGAAGUGUUUUCCGCGCCGGACCGCAUACAAGUCUGUUGGAAUACAGCGUCAUAGUGGUGAGAGCCCCGUAAUUGAUGUGGAUGCCCGGUGCUUUGUGAUACACUUUCGAAGAGUCGAGUUGUUUGGGAAUGCAGCUCAAAUUGGGUGGUAAAUUCCAUCUAAAGCUAAAUAUUGGCGAGAGACCGAUAGCGAACAAGUACCGUGAGGGAAAGAUGAAAAGCACUUUGGAAAGAGAGUUAACAGUACGUGAAAUUGUUGGAAGGGAAACGCUUGAAGUCAGACUUGCUAUUCGGAAUUCAGCCGCAAGGUGUACUUUUCGAUUUGCAGGCCAGCAUCAGUUUUUGGGGGUGGAAAAGGGUGGAGAGAAGGUAGCAACCUUGGUUGUGUUAUAGCUCUUUACUGGAUUCAUCUUUGGGGACUGAGGAUCGCAGUGCGCAAUUUACUUUGCAAACCUUUCGAGGUUUUCGUACUUAGGAUGCUGGUGGAAUGGCUUUAAACGACCCGUCUUGA
Molecule: ribosomal RNA, 669 nt
Filed under: Glaciozyma watsonii
Lineage: Eukaryota; Fungi; Basidiomycota; Microbotryomycetes; Kriegeriales; Camptobasidiaceae
Description: LSU rRNA
Rfam family: Eukaryotic large subunit ribosomal RNA
Source: RNAcentral